UAUGUAUGUAUAAUAAUAAUAAUAAUAAUAAUAAUAAAUAAAGGGUAGAGGGAAUAGAACAUGUGAUCCAUUCUUAUUUGAUUUGAUUGGCCACAAAAUCAUGCCUAUCACACAUAUAACAGAGCAUACAGGAAAUAUAAUGAAAUCCAAGGAAUUAUAUUUCAUAAGCCAUUUCUUGUUGAAGAAAUAAUAAAUGGUAAGAAAUUGAACUCAUUGGAAGCAAGCAGCAGUCGUUGGAAUGAAAUGCCAGUUUAUCUAUUUGUUUUGGAACCUAAAUAAAAAUAACCCAUUGAAAUGAAUAAAAAAGAUGUCAAUUUUAAUGAAUAAUUAACUCUAGAAAUAAAAUUUAUAUAAGGUAUUCAACAUUUGCUAGCUAGAAUAGCUAUAAAUAUGUGUGUGUAUAUAGCAACUAAUGAGUACUUAUAAAAAUUCAUAUGAGUACUUAAACUCAAACUCAUUACUCAUAAACUAUUUUUUUCCUUUUAAUUUAUGAAUGGACAACAAAACUUGAGAACUUUUUUAUCCCCACAUAGCAUGAAUUUGUCCAAAAAAAAAGAUUAUCCAUUGCACCAGUAUUACUCUACAAGUGGUCAUAUAUUAUAUAAAAGAAGAUAAUGUUCAACAAUAAUGGUAUUUUUGAAUUUUUGGUUUGGUCUUUAAUUAUUUGUUUAGAAAGCUAUUGUCUUUUGAAUUUUAUCUUUUG
This 703-nucleotide long non-coding RNA is filed under the name Citrus sinensis (sweet orange). Its description in RNAcentral is "long non-coding RNA (CSIN_LNC000075)". Lineage: Eukaryota; Viridiplantae; Streptophyta; Magnoliopsida; Sapindales; Rutaceae. The record is from RNAcentral.